AAAGAUUAAGCCAUGCAUGUCUAAGUUACAUUUAAAAAUCGNGAAAGCGNGAAGGGGUCANUANAACAGGUAUCCUUUACUUGAUCUUGACACUAUCCUACUUGGAUAACUGUGGUAAUUCUAGAGCUAAUACAUGCAUUAAAGCUCUGACCUCACGGGAAGAGUGCACUUAUUAGAACAAAACCAAGCGGCUUCGGCUGUUUUCGGUUGACUCAUAGUAACUGAGCUGAUCGCACGGUCUUGCACCGGCGACGUGUCUUUCAAGUAUCUGCCGUAUCAACUUUCGAUGGUAGUGUAUCUGACUACCAUGGUGAUCACGCGUAACGGAGAAUAAGGGUUCGGCUCCGGAGAGUUCGCCUGAGAAAUCGCGAACACAUCUAAGGAAGGCAGCAGGCGCGAAAAUUACCCACUCUCAGCACGAGGAGGUAGUGACGAAAAAUAACGAGACCGUUCUCUUAUGAGGCCGGUCAUCGGAAUGGGUACAAUUUAAACCCUUUAACGAGUAUCUAUGAGAGGGCAAGUCUGGUGCCAGCAGCCGCGGUAAUUCCAGCUCUCAAAGUGCAUAGAAUUAUUGCUGCGGUUAAAAAGCUCGUAGUUGGAUCUGUGCCAUAGGACGUGGUCCACCUUCUGGGUGCGUACUAUGUUCCUAGGCUUUUUGCUGGUUUUCCCGUCGUAGCCUUCAUUGGUUGCGGCGGGUGGCUGGCGAGUUUACUUUGAGAAAAUCAGAGUGCUCAACACAGGCGUAUCGCUUGAAUGAUUGUGCAUGGAAUAAUAGAAAAGGAUUUCGGUCCUCUUUUUUGGUUUUGUGGACUGAGAUAAUGGUUAACAGGGACCAACGGGCGGCAUCCUUACCGCUGCGUGAGAAGGGAAAUUCUUGGACCGUAGCGAGACGCCCUACUGCGAAAGCAUUUUGCCAAAAAUG
RNAcentral lists this ribosomal RNA (922 nucleotides) under Chiloplacus propinquus. Its description in RNAcentral is "SSU rRNA". It matches the Rfam family "Eukaryotic small subunit ribosomal RNA", at positions 39 to 966 of the family's 1831-position model. Lineage: Eukaryota; Metazoa; Nematoda; Chromadorea; Rhabditida; Cephalobidae. The record is from RNAcentral.